This is a long non-coding RNA of Ruditapes philippinarum (Manila clam), 789 nucleotides long. RefSeq lists it as uncharacterized. The record is from RefSeq and is a predicted model, not a curated record. The transcript is spliced from 3 exons. Lineage: Eukaryota; Metazoa; Mollusca; Bivalvia; Venerida; Veneridae.
AAAUGUGUUGCUGAAAAAGCGCCUGUAGGUCGACCCUCGGAAAAAGGACAUCUGGAAUUUCCUUUUUUAUUCUGGAACGCAUUCAACGUUUUCAUUUCCUGUUUAAAACGUUUACUGUCUAUUCUAGUGCAUGCGAAUUGAACACUUCCUGGUUGACGUGGCUCGGCUAUUUUUCAGGUACUAGCUGUGCUUGGCUGGUACUCGUUUAAAAUCUCGUGCAUGCGCAUUGAACACUUCCUGUUUGACGUGUAGACUGUUGUGGUUGGUGAGGAAAUUUUAAAUCGUCGAAGGCGAUAUAUGAGUAACAACUGUCAUAAGAAUAUAAAGGAUAAGAAUUCCAACGAAAGAUGUUCUCUGUCUGUCGCUCGUCCAUUUCUUGUUUACUGAGUUAGUCAAAUGUUCGACAUUGACGGGCAAUGGUAGGAAAUUUUCGAGACAGUUUCUCAGCAACUAGUUAUCACAGCCUCUUGAUAUUUGGUAUACAGCAUCAACAUGUGGUCCCAUAUUGUGGUAUUCGAUUUCAGGUAUGUCGUUCAUCCACUUCCUGUUUACCAACUUAAUUAAUUUUUCUACAUUGAUGGUGAAUUGUAAUAAAAUUUCAUAACUACGGCCUCGUGAUAUUUGGUAUAAAAUGCAACCCGGCCAUUUCUGCCUUUGACCCGUUUUAUGUACUAUUAUAUACAAAUAAACCUAACAUGCAUUGUGUAAUGGUAAUUUAAGGACACAAUUACUAAAAAGUCUGAAUAGAUAAGGUGACCCUCAUUUCCAAAACCCGGGGUUAUUUUUUUA